GAUGAACGCUAGCUACAGGCUUAACACAUGCAAGUCGAGGGGCAGCACGGGCUUAGCUUGCUAAGCCCGAUGGCGACCGGCGCACGGGUGAGUAACACGUAUCCAACCUUCCGGUAACUCCGGUAUAGCCUUUCGAAAGAAAGAUUAAUCCCGGAUAGUAUGGUGAUUCCGCAUGGUUUCUCCAUUAAAGGAUUCCGGUUACCGAUGGGGAUGCGUUCCAUUAGGCAGUUGGCGGGGUAACGGCCCACCAAACCUACGAUGGAUAGGGGUUCUGAGAGGAAGGUCCCCCACAUUGGAACUGAGACACGGUCCAAACUCCUACGGGAGGCAGCAGUGAGGAAUAUUGGUCAAUGGGCGGAAGCCUGAACCAGCCAAGUAGCGUGAAGGAUGACUGCCCCUAUGGGUUGUAAACUUCUUUUAUAAGGGAAUAA
Molecule: ribosomal RNA, 431 nt
Filed under: Prevotella heparinolytica
Lineage: Bacteria; Pseudomonadati; Bacteroidota; Bacteroidia; Bacteroidales; Prevotellaceae
Description: bacterial SSU rRNA
Rfam family: Bacterial small subunit ribosomal RNA
Source: RNAcentral